Molecule: long non-coding RNA, 3822 nt
Filed under: Sorghum bicolor (sorghum)
Lineage: Eukaryota; Viridiplantae; Streptophyta; Magnoliopsida; Poales; Poaceae
Description: long non-coding RNA (SBIC_LNC005857)
Source: RNAcentral
AUGUCUUGUUGGAUCGUGUAUAUAUGGACCUGCGCGUGCAUGCGUCCCACUUGUUUAGGAGAAAUUGAUGGGGUACGCCGGAGAUUUGUCCGGGUUGAAGAGUCCGAAGUGCCUCUCCGUCUCCGCUCCCGUCUUCUUGUCCUCGUUGAACAUGGCGAAGAUGUAGGUCUCGAUGGCGCCGGGGCGCUUCGGCGUGCCCUGCCCGACAUGGUUGAUGAGGUUCUGGUUGUAGGUCUGCGCGUUCCCUGGUGUGGCGGCGUCGCCGCCGUCCGACGGCCACCCGCUCUCGGACACGACGACGCCGACGUUCCCGGCGCCGGCGUUCUCGAGCGCGGACACGAAGGUGUCGACGAGCGCGUCGAAGAGGUUCUGGUACGCGUUGCCGUCGUCGUCCUGCACGACGGUCCCCGGCGACGUGAAGAGCGCGUAGCUGAGGGCGAUCUGGGCCUCGUUGCCCGUGUAGGAGAAGUAGGGGUAGACGUUGCAGAGCAGCGGGGCCCCCGUGCUCUGCAGGUACUGCGCGAUGGGCCCCAUGUAACCCUGCGAGAAGCUGCCCUGCGACGGCGGGAAGCCCUGGGUGACGCCGCUCUCCACCGCCGUGGACACCUUGAUGCCUCCGAGCCCGGCGUUGGCGAGCGCGGAGUUGACGUUCUGCAUGGCGGGGAGGAUGCUGUUGGUGUCCCCGCCGGAGACCUCGUUGCCGACGGCGAUGUACUUGAAGUUGACCCCCGGGAACGCCUGCAAGUUCCUCUGCACCCACGUCGCCGCCGCGCUCGGGUCGGAGGCCAGCGAGGAGAGGUCCGAGUUGGGCACGUCCAUGAUCACGCCGAUGUUGCUGCCGCUCAGCGCGUUCAGCGCGUUGGUGUCCGGGAAGUAGAUGCGCAUGAGGUUGAUGCCGUUGGACUGGUAGAGCUGCACCACGUCGCUCGCCGGCGGCAGGUUGUCGCCGUUCACGCCGUAGCACACGCCGAUGGAUUUGACUCCUGUACGUACGUACAUAAGUGUCAAUAAUGCAUGCAUAUCAGCAUAUCGCGGUGAUCAGCAUUGCACCUAGCUAGAGUAAUGUAUGAUGCGUGAUGCAUGAAAAUCUGAUCUGACCUGUAGGAGUGGCUGGAAAUGCUCGGAGCAGCAAUGCCAGUGCAAGCAUGGAAGCUACAAGAAGCAAUGCCAGUGCAAGCAUGGAAGCGACAACCUGCUUCGACAUCUUGGAAGGAUCAGGAUCAGGAUCAGGAUCAGUUGCGCUACUCCUAUAUGUUUGCAGCAGCUACAGACAGGUAACUGUAACCGAUGCUACACUGGACUGCACUCCACUGCAUGCAAUUCACCGAGGCAUCGAGGCAUAUUUAUAUAGCUAGCUAGCUAGGCAGGGGCACGGCGGAGGCAAAUUCUGAGAGAUGUGCCGUCUCUCUGAUCGCCCAGUUUUAGCGGCACCAAUGCAAUACCUCGUUCCGUUAACAGCUUACACCGGAAGCCGCCGAGACGUACUGAUCUUGCCGCGGCAGCGACAGAUGAAGACGUAGACCUGACCUCGUCGCGAGCAAGCAUGUUGGGUGUUGGCUUUCUCAAAUCUGCGGUUGGACUUCGACGUCAUCGAGCACUCAGGAGCUACCGCAACGCGGGCUCGGCGUGGCGAUGCUCGAGCGGUUCUGUUGCAGGGGCGCGCGACCACCUGCUCGAGCUGUUCGCUGUGGUCCAGGAUGGUGAAUUUGUGAUAGAGAUGUCAACUCUGCUAAUUAAUGGGUUUUCUUCUUGAAAUAAUCUCUAGUAAAACUCCAAAUCAACCCCCAAAUGCAUAGACAUCAAUCUUUCUUUGUUGACCUUCCUGUAUGAAAAAUAUUCAGAACCCAAGUACCUCGACAGUAGCAGUUUUUCAUAUCUGAUGUAACUGUGAGUUAAUAUACUAGCUAACUGCUAACCAAAGUCUUGAGAUGAUACAGAGUCACAGAUCCAAAAGGUUCCAGUGAUGUCGGUACAUGUUAGCAAAGGAAGUUGAAACUGACACUUGCUUUGCUAACCCAAAAUCACACGACUGAAUGAAAUUUCCACUAGGUAACAAUGUCACAAAGGAUCAACAUCGGCAAAAGUGAUGUUACAAAUGGUUUCCCAAUCGCAUUACUGCUUCCGUGUCAAGCUGAAUAAGAACUUGUGAUCACUCUGUAGUUGACAUGUCGUAUCACCUGUGAAUUUGUGAUCACUGCCCUACGAAUAUAGGCCUUGUUUAGUUCACCCUGAAAACCAAAAAGUUUUCAAGAUUUCCCGUCACAUCGAAUCUUCUAGCACAUGCAUGAAACAUUAAAUAUAGACGAAAACAAAAACUAAUUACACAGUUUAGUUGUAAAUCAUGAAACGAAUCUUUUGAUCCUAGUUAGUCCAUAAUUGGAUAAUAUUUGUCACAAUCAAACGAAAGUGCUAUAGUACCGAAAACUUUUCACUCUUCGGAACUAAACAAGGCAAUAAAUUAUAUUCCUUUACCCAAUGCAGACUUUGAACACCAGAUAAUCCAUUUCAACGGGUGGAGGUGGAUGAUGCAGACUGGGCCUGGUGGCGGCAAAUUCACUAGGGCCAGUAGCGCGCUGGGUGGCCCUGUGUCCUGGCAGCGUCAUCCCCGUUCACGGCGGACAGCUAGAGCAGCGGGGCGCCCUCGCGAUAUGGAGCCGCUCGAGCUCUGCCAUGUCGUCGAGACCGUGCUGUGGCGUCUUCUUGUGUCGACAUCGCAGCUGAUGCUGGCAUGAGCUAGCGCCCUAUGAAUGUCAUGAUCUGCCGGCCUCGUUUUCGCACACAUCUUUAGGUGGCUUCUGACGAAAGAAAACGCUUUGCCGUUCACGACUAACCUGAAAUUAAUCACUUUAUAGAGAGAUUGAGAGGAAAACACUGUUUAGAAUUAAACUGCCAAAUUAAGGAGUCUUCUUCGUCAAACAAACUGUAGAGGCUAACUAAAUUACUUCUAACUAGAGGUUCAUCAACCAGUUAUCAACACACCUUCUGACUUUCCACCCCCAAAGAUUAGCCACCGUUUCCGACUUUCCAUGGACCAGAAUAUAAAUUUCCCAAAAAUGUAUAGCUCAACUAGAGUUUCCCAACCAGUUAUCCUUUAAAAACUUAAUCUUCUUCUUGUUACCUAUUUCCUGUCUGAACUCCAUUUUCGCAGCAGAGGCUGCCCACAGCAAGCCUUUAAAAAAUGGUGAAGUCAUGCACUCGUGCUAGCAGUAUUGUAUUUAUAGUCAACAACAAUACAACAUGGCUACUUAACUUACUCCACAAGGCUAACAGACACUUCUUUAAAUCUCUCAAAUUUGGUACCAAGCCGCCCAAAAUCUUUGAACAUACUACUAACACUCUCCCAAUUUGCAAGAUGAUAUGUUCUAAUUUUGAACCGAAUUUUAAUUGAUUAUAAUGAGAUAUUACUCCCAUUUAAUAAUGAUCGAUGCACAUAAUGUCGAGACGAAAUUAGGAGAAAGCAUAUAACUACAUGGGCAAAGAAGAAAUAAAUCAAGAAUGUACUUCUUGUUAUUCAUUUUUAUGUAAUAAUCGAAGCACUUGCCUUACAUGGAUGCACUUUGCAUUUUACAGGCAGUUUAUUCAAUGUUUUGGUAUGUAGUAUAUAAGGUAUAUAUGUGUAUCUGUAUGGUAUCUCGUAUAGUUAAAUUUUAUGUCUUGUUCGAUCGUGUAUAUAUGGACCGGGCCGCGCGAGCGUCCCACUUGGUUGGUUUUUAGGAGAAAUUGAUGGAGUACGCCGGCGAUUUGUCCGGGUUGAAGAGUCCGAAGUGCCUCUCCGUCUCGGCUCCCGUCUUCUUGUCCUCGUUGAACAUGGCGAAGAUGUAG